GUAGUAUGUGUGUGUGACUACAUUUAUAGUGGUGUAUUCUAGUUCUGUGUGUGUCCUGCUCUCUCUUCUAUCCAUUUAUCCCUCUCAUCCUCCCUCCCUUGCACCUUGGCUCAGUAACACUUUCCCAUUGAAUCUGUUCUCAUUCUCCCUCUGAAUAUUUCUCACUUUCUUACCUCUCUCUGGUUUUAUCACUUGGCCUAACUUUUUUUUGUCCCCUGAAAUGGUCGUACUCUCUGAGUCUACUAGUUAGUCUCCCUUCCCCUUGUUUCUUUUUAAAUGAUAUGUUGUCCAGUACCAUGGGAUAGACCCCUAUUGAAUAUACAGUAUGUAUGACUAUACAGUAUGUAUGACUAUACAGUAUGUAUGACUAUACAGUAUGUAUGUAUGACUAUACAGUAUGUAUGUGUGGGGACACUCUAGUUCUCCAUCAUUACAGGACAGGGUAUUCAUGUUGUCCCAGUUCUGCUGCAACCUACUUACUAUUUAUUCAGAACAGACCUUCCCCUACAGUCACUGUGUGUCUGUGUCACAGCGGCUCACAGCGUGCCAGUUCCUGGCAUUGUUAUUAAUUCAAGCCUGAAGGCAGCAGGGAAGAAGGCCUGACUAGAUAACAGGUCAAGCCUAAUGGCAGCAGGGAAGAAGAAGGCCUGGCUAGAUAACAGGUCAAGCCUGAUGGCAGCAGGGAAGAAGGCCUGGCUAGAUAACAGGUCAAGCCUGAAGGCAGCAGGGAAGAAGAAGGCCUGGCUAGAUAACAGGUCAAGCCUGAUGGCAGCAGGGAAGAAGAAGGCCUGACUAGAUAACAGGUCAAGCCUAAUGGCAGCAGGGAAGAAGAAGGCCUGGCUAGAUAACAGGUCAAGCCUGAUGGCAGCAGGGAAGAAGAAGGCCUGGCUAGAUAACAGGUCAAGCCUGAAGGCAGCAGGGAAGAAGAAGGCCUGGCUAGAUAACAGGUCAAGCCUGAAGGCAGCAGGGAAGAAGAAGGCCUGGCUAGAUAACAGGUCAAGCCUGAUGGCAGCAGGGAAGAAGAAGGCCUGGCUAGAUAACAGGUCAAGCCUGAUGGCAGCAGGGAAGAAGAAGGCCUGGCUAGAUAACAGGUCAAGCCUGAUGGCAGCAGGGAAGAAGAAGGCCUGGCUAGAUAACAGGUCAAGCCUGAUGGCAGCAGGGAAGAAGGCCUGGCUAGAUAACAGGUCAAGCCUGAUGGCAGCAGGGAAGAAGGCCUGGCUAGAUAACAGGUCAAGCCUGAAGGCAGCAGGGAAGAAGAAGGCCUGGCUAGAUAACAGGUCAAGCCUGAUGGCAGCAGGGAAGAAGGCCUGGCUAGAUAACAGGUCAAGCCUGAAGGCAGCAGGGAAGAAGAAGGCCUGGCUAGAUAACAGGUCAAGCCUGAUGGCAGCAGGGAAGAAGGCCUGGCUAGAUAACAGGUCAAGCCUGAUGGCAGCAGGGAAGAAGAAGGCCUGGCUAGAUAACAGGUCAAGCCUGAUGGCAGCAGGGAAGAAGAAGGCCUGGCUAGAUAACAGGUCAAGCCUGAUGGCAGCAGGGAAGAAGGCCUGGCUAGAUAACAGGUCAAGCCUGAAGGCAGCAGGGAAGAAGGCCUGGCUAGAUAACAGGUCAAGCCUGAAGGCAGCAGGGAAGAAGAAGGCCUGGCUAGAUAACAGGUCAAGCCUGAUGGCAGCAGGGAAGAAGAAGGCCUGGCUAGAUAACAGGUCAAGCCUGAAGGCAGCAGGGAAGAAGGCCUGGCUAGAUAACAGGUCAAGCCUGAUGGCAGCAGGGAAGAAGGCCUGGCUAGAUAACAGGUCAAGCCUGAAGGCAGCAGGGAAGAAGAAGGCCUGGCUAGAUAACAGGUCAAGCCUGAUGGCAGCAGGGAAGAAGAAGGCCUGGCUAGAUAACAGGUCAAGCCUGAUGGCAGCAGGGAAGAAGGCCUGGCUAGAUA
Molecule: long non-coding RNA, 1924 nt
Filed under: Salmo salar (Atlantic salmon)
Lineage: Eukaryota; Metazoa; Chordata; Actinopteri; Salmoniformes; Salmonidae
Description: lncRNA (ENSSSAG00000098307.1)
Source: RNAcentral